UUGAUGCAGAGGGGAGACUUCGGGACGUUCGAAACCGAUGAAGCAAUCCGCAGCCGCCGACUGUGGAGAAUCUUUCAGGUAAAUAGACCCUUUGUGGAUG
RNAcentral lists this non-coding RNA (100 nucleotides) under Bacillota bacterium. RNAcentral's name for it is "Firmicutes bacterium Glycine sequence". It matches the Rfam family "Glycine riboswitch aptamer". From Rfam's summary of the family: This family represents the bacterial glycine riboswitch. Glycine riboswitches usually consist of two metabolite-binding aptamers domains with similar structures in tandem. The aptamers cooperatively bind glycine to regulate the expression of downstream genes. Lineage: Bacteria; Bacillati; Bacillota. The record is from RNAcentral.